GUGGGGAAUAUUGGACAAUGGGCGAAAGCCUGAUCCAGCCAUGCCGCGUGAGUGAUGAAGGCCUUAGGGUUGUAAAGCUCUUUCAGUAGGGAAGAUAAUGACGGUACCUACAGAAGAAGCCCCGGCUAACUUCGUGCCAGCAGCCGCGGUAAUACGAAGGGGGCUAGCGUUGUUCGGAUUUACUGGGCGUAAAGCGCACGUAGGCGGAUUGGUCAGUUAGAGGUGAAAUCCUGGAGCUCAACUCCAGAACUGCCUUUAAUACUGCCAGUCUAGAGUCCAGAAGAGGUGAGUGGAACUCCUGGUGUAGAGGUGGAAUUCGUAGAUAUUAGGAAGAACACCAGUGGCGAAGGCGGCUCACUGGUCCGGUACUGACGCUGAGGUGCGAAAGCGUGGGGAGCAAACAGGAUUAGAUACCCGUGUAGUCC
Molecule: ribosomal RNA, 425 nt
Filed under: uncultured bacterium
Lineage: Bacteria
Description: partial 16S ribosomal RNA
Rfam family: Bacterial small subunit ribosomal RNA
Source: RNAcentral